CCGCUCCCUCCGGGGGCAGUUCCCAGAAGCCAGUGUAGGGGCAUGGUGUGGAGAUAUGGGACCCCAAGACUGGUGCUGGGCCCCUGUUCCCACAGGGUAUGCGACAGAUCGUGGCUUCUGGGUCCCUGACCUGGCUUGGCCUCAGCACCAUUUGCGUCACCUUGGAGCCGUCACUUUGCCUCCCACAGCCUCAGGCUUCCCGCUUGAAAAAUGGUAUCAAUACUGUUUCUCCUGGAAACCCUGGUGCUGUAGUGGUUAAAUGCUACGGCUGCUAACGAAGAGAUCAGCAGUUGGAAUCCGCCAGGCGCUCCUUGGAAACUCUAUGGGGCCGUUCUGCUCCGUUCUAUAGGGUCGCUAUGAGUCGGAAUUGACUCGACGGCAGUGGGUUUGGGCUUUUGCUUUUUAAUACUUCUCCUGCGGUUGCCUCCCGGAGGGCACCAGCGCAGCCCGGCGUGCGGAGCGGUCCCAGGUGGGAAUCUUUUCACCAGAGGUUCGCAGGAAAGACAUACAUGUUAGGACUACACCUUAUGCCACAGGAGUGCCCUGAGGUCCUCUGAGCACUCUUCUGUAGUCCGCCCAUCCGUCCCGCGUGGCACGAAGCUCAAGGAUCCGCUCAUUCUCAUCUAGCCAUUAAGUUUAUUCUUUCCAUCGUAGAAUGUGACAUUUCUCUUUCAAAUGGACUCAGAACAAAAUAUCAAAAAGUAGCUAUCGCAGCGAAGUGCUCGCAGGGCCCGGUAACUGGGCCGCCUUAGCCGGGAAUGUCUUGGACAAAUGGGGGCCUGAGAGCCUGAAUAUGAGCGGGAAAAGGGGGGAGGAGUGCUGCUACAUGCAAGUCCUAAGGACAUACAGUGGUGCUUAGGGGACAACCCAGUUCUUGGAAGCGAGCUCCACUAACUUGUCUGGUGUCCUAUGCUCCGUCAGACUCUCCUGGAAGGAAAGUGACUCUGACACUUCUGAGGUCGGGGUCCCAGCCCCUGCUUCCACUCUAAUGCUGCAGUUGUGUUCCAGGAAUAAGGUUCUUGCCUCUCACUGGUCAAAAAUGAGCAGCCUCCUGGCUGCUGCUGCAGCUUCUCACUGCCCCUGGUGGAGGUCACACAGCGGUCACAGGUGGAUGUUCUGCGCAUGUCCUUGGGGCUGGUUUUCUCCAGCUACUUCUGAAAGACAACUUCCAGGAUCAUCCAUGGUGGACAGCUUUCAGUGGAGCUGCCAGACUAAGACAGAAGGAAGAAAGGCCUGGUGAUCUACUUUCAAAAAUUAGCCAAGGAAAGUUUUAUGGAUCACAACAGAAUAUUGUUGUCCUAUAUAGUGCUGGAAGAUGAGCUCUCUACCUCGGAAGGUGCUACACGGUGGCCACAACAAUGGACUCAGACAUGACAACUAUCAGGAAGAUGGCACAGGACGGGGCAAUGUUUUAUGUUGUAUCCAGAGUCACCAAGAGUUGCAGCUGACUCCAUAGAUAAUAACAACAACAGAGUUAUUCAAAGUGGAAAUAGGAGAACCAUAGUCAUCAGAAUCCCCUGGAGACAGGCUCAAGAUACAGAUUCCUAAAAGUUUUUAGCUAUGACAUUUCUGAUCAGCGCCUGAUCUCUAAAAUCUACAUGGUACUGCAAAAACUCAACUACAAAAAGACAAAUAACCCUAUUAAAAAAUGGGCAAAAUAUAUGAAUAGACACUUCACUAAAGAAGACAUUUAGGUAGCUAACAGAUACAUGAGGAAAGGCUCACGAUCAUUAGCCAUUAGAGAAAUGCAGAUCAAAACUACAAUGAGAUUUUGUCUCACUCCAACAAGGCUGGCAUUAAUCCAAAAAACACAAAAUAGUUAAUGUUGGAGAGGCUGUGGAGAGAUUGGAACACUUAUACACUGCUGAUGGGAAUGUAAAAUGGUACAACCACUAUGGAAAUCUAUUUGGCGCUUUCUUAAAAAGCUAGAAAUAGAACUACCAUACGAUCCAGCAAUCCCACUCCUCGGAAUAUACCCUAGAGAAAUAAGAGCCUUUACACAAACAGAAAUAUGCACACCCAUGUUUAUUGCAGCACUGUUUACAAUAGCAAAAAGAUGGAAGCAACCAAGGUCCCCAUCAACAGAUGAAUGGAUAAAUAAAUUAUGGUAUAUUCACACAAUGGAAUACUAUGCAUCGAUUAAGAACAGUGAGGAAUCUGUGAAACAUUUCAUAACAUGGAGGAAACUGGAAGGCAUUGUGCUGAGUGAAAUUAGUUGCAAAAGGACAAAUAUUGUAUGAGACAACUAUUAUAAGAACUUGAGAAAUAGUUUUAACAGAGAGGAAAAUAUUCUUUGAUGGUUAUGAGAUGGGGAGGGAGGGAAAAAGGAAGAGGAGUAUUCACUAAUUAGAUGGUAGAUAAGAACUACUUUAGGUGAAGGGAAAGACAACACACAAUACAGGCGAGGUCAGCACAACUGGACUAAACCAAAAGCGAAGUUUUCUGAAUAAACUGAAUGUUUCGAAGGCCAGUGUAGCAGGGGCAGGGGUUUGGGGACCAUGAUUUCAGGGGACAUGUAAGUCAAUUGGCAUAAUAAAAUCUAUUAAGAAAACAUUCCGCAUCCCACUUUGAAGAGUGGCAUUUGGGGUCUUAAACGCUAGCAAGCAGCCAUCUAAGAUGAAUCAAUUGGUCUCAACCCACCUGGAUCAAAGGAGAACGAAGAACACCAAGGACACAAGGUAAUUACAAGCCCAAGAGACAGAAAGGGCCACAUAAACCAGAGACUACAUCAGCCUGAGACCAGAAGAACUAGAUGGUGCCUGGCUACAACCGAUGACUGCCCUGACAGGGAACACAACAGAGAACCCCUGAGGGAGCAGGAGAGCAGUGGGAUGCAGACCUCGGAUUCUCAUAAAAAGACCAGACUUAAUGGCCUGACUGAGACUGGAAGGACCCUGGUGGUCAUGGCCCCCAGACCUUCUGUUGGCCCAGGACAGGAACGGUUCCCGAAGCCAACUCUUCAGACAUGGAUUGGACUGGACAAUGGGUUGGAGAGGGAUGCUGGUGAGGAGUGAGCUUCUUGGAUCAGGUGGACACUUGAGACUAUGUUGGCAUCUCCUGCCUGGAGGGCAGAUGAGAGGGUAGAGGGGGUUAGAAGCUGGCGAAAUGGACACGAAAAGAGAGAAUGGAGGGAGAGAGAGGGCUGUCUCAUUAGGGGGAGAGUAAUUGGGAGUAUGUAGCAAGGUGUAUAUAAGUUUUUGUGUGAGAGACUGACUUGAUUUGUAAACUUUCACUUAAAGCACAAUAAAAAUUUAUAUAAAAAAAAAUAAGUCAGCCUCAAAGGGAUGCAUACUGAUUACAUGAAAUAUCUAGGAUAGGCAAAUGUGUAGAGAUCAAACUGUAUUGGUGGUUACCAGGGCCUGGUGGGGGGGCAGGGCGGGCACUGAGGUUCUGUUAAGAGCGAUGGGAUAAUUUGGAAAUGGAUAAUGGUCAUAGUUGAAUAACAUGAUAAACAUAACUGAUGUCACUGAAUUGUGCACAUGGUGAAAGUUGAUAAAGCAAACAAUUUGUUACAUAUGUUUACCACAAUAAAGGGGGAAAUAUAGCAUAUUAAAAACAAAAUACAGAUUCCUGAGCCCCACCUGAGCCCUAGGGAGUCACUCUACAGAGGGAUUCAGGAAUUACCACUGACAGAUCUGAAUCGUAAUAGCAUGGGAGAAUCUCUGCCCUAAAUAAUCCUUUCUGGCAGUUCCUCUAUUUUCAAUCUUCAAAUCGGUCCUCCAGGUCUAACCUAGGCAAUGAGGGUGGAAGGGAAUAAACACUUACGGAAGAUGGAAAGUUCUGCCAUUUACCAGGUUGGCAAUGUGAUUGAGCCUUAUAUUCCUUUUCAAACACCCAUUAUUAUCCCCAUUGUACAGGCUAAGAGAGGUUAAGUAACUUGGUAGAAGCUGGAUCCUCACCCAAGUCUUUCGAACUGAAUCAGCAGCAUAGUUCAGUAGCUGAGCAAGGGGCUUCAGACCCUGGACUACAUGGGUUUGAAUCCCAGCUCUACUCCAUACUGUGUACUGGGCCUUCCUUAAAACAGUGCAGGGCUCAGGGCCACCCAAAGACUAUGGGGCCAUCUAAGACAACUGCCACAGUGUCAGCAUUCUUCCUAGGCCCCAUGUGAUAGCACUGAAGAGAAAUUUCUAAACUGAAAUUUAUUGAUGCUCAGAAAAGAGAAGUAAGUUACAGCCCUCCAUGGUCCCCUGCCCCCAACCACAGGGCUGAGGGCAUGUGACCUCAGGCAAGUCCCCAAACUCUCUGAACCUCAGUUCCUCAGCAGUGUUGUUAGGGGCUGUUGAGUCAGUUCCGGCUGUAUGUACAACAGAAUGAAACACUCCCCAGUCGUGUGCCACCCUCACAAUCAUUGCUGUAUUUGAGUCCCUUGUUGCAGCUAGUGUGUCAAUCCAUCUCUUUGAGGGUCUUCCUCUUUUUCGAUGACUGUCUACCAAGCAUGAUGUCCUUCUCCAGGGACUGAUCGCUCCUGAAAACAUUUCCAAAGUAUGUGAGACAUAGUCUCACUGGCCUUGUUUCCUGGGAGCACUCUGGCUGUACUUAUUCCGAGACAGACUUGUUCCUUUUUCUGGCAGUUCAUGUUAUAUUCAGUAUUCUUCACCAACACCAUAAUUUAAAGGCAUCAAUUCUUCAGUCUUCCUUAUUCAUUGUCCAGCUUUUGAACGCAUAUGAGGUGAUUGAAAAUAUCAUGGCUUGGGUCAGGUGUACCUUAGUACUCAAAGUGACAUGUUUGGUUUUUAACACUUUAAAGAGGUCUUUUGCAGAGAUUUGCCCAAUACAAUGCAUCGUUUGAUUUCCUGAUUGCAGUUUCAAUGGGCGUUGACUGAGGAUCCAAGCAAAAUGAAAUCCCUGACAAUUUCAUUCCUUUCUCUGUUUAUCAUGAUGUUGCUCAUGGGCCCAGUUGUGAGAAUUUUUGUUUUCUUUAUGUUGAGUUGUCAUCCAUACUGAAGGCUGUAGUUUUUGAUCUCCAUCAGAAAAUGCUUCAAGUUCUUUUCACUUUCAGCAAGCAAGGUUGUGUCAUCUGCGUAUCACAGAUUGUUGAUGCAUCUUCCUGCAAUCCUGAUGCCCUGUUCUUCUUCAUACAGUCCAGUUUCUCAGAUUAUUUGCUCAGCAUACAGAUUGAAUAAGUAUGGUGAAAGGAUACGACCCUGACACACACUGUUUCUGAUUUUAAAUCACGCAGUUUCCCAUUGUUCUGUUCAAACAGUUGCCUCUUGGUCUAUGAACCAGUUCCAUAUGAGCACAAUUAAGUGUUCUGGAAUUCCCAUUCUUGCCAGUGUUAUCCAAAAUUUGUUAUGAUCGACACAGUCGGAUGCUUUGCAUAGUCAAUAAAACACAGGUAAACAUCUUUCUGGUAUUCUCUGCUUUCAGCCAAGAUACAUCUGACAUCAGCAAUGAUAUCCCUUGUUUCAGGUCCUCUUCUGAAUCCAGCUUGAAUUUCUGGUCACUGGACUGCUGCAAUCAUUUUCUAAUUAUCUUCAGCAAAAUUUUACUUGCAUGUGAUAUUAAUGAUAUUGUUCAAUAAUUUCUGCAUUAUGUUGGAUCAUCUUUCUUUGGAAUGGGCACAAAUAUGGAUCUCUUCCAAAUUUCUUGGCCUAGUGAGCACCCCCAGAGCUCUAUUGAAACAUCUCAAUUGAUAGUCUGUCAAUUCCCACAGCCUUCCUCUUUUUUGCCAGUGCCUUCGGGGCAGCUUGGACUUCUUCCUUCAAUACCAUUGGUUCUUGAUCAUAUGCUACCUCCUGAAAUGGUUGAAUGUCAACCAAUUCAUUUUGGUACAGUGACUCUGUAUAUUCCUUCCAUCUUCUUUUGAUGCAUCAUUCAAUAUUUUGCCCACAGAAUCCUUCAAAAUUGCAACUCAAGGAUUGAAUUUUUACUUCACAUCUUUCAGCUCGAGAAAUCCCGGGAGUAUUUUUCCCUUUUGGUUUUCUAAACUCCAGGUCUUUGCACAUGUCAUAAUACUUUGUCUUCUUGAGCUGCCCUUCAAAAUCUUCUCUUGAGUUUUUACAUCGUCAUUUCUUCCAUUUGCUUUAUCUACUGUAUGUUCAAGAGCAGGCUUCAGAAUCUCUUCUGACAUCCAUUUUGUUUUUUUCUUUCUCUCCUGUCUUUUUAAUGACCUUUUGCUUUCUUUACAUAUGAUGUUCUUGAUGUCAUUCCACAACUCAUCUGAUCUUCGGUCAUUAGUGUUCAAUUCGUCAAAUCUAUCCUUGAGAUGGUCUCCAAAUUCAGGUGGGAUAUACUCAAGAUCAUAUUUUGGUUCUCUUGGACUGUCUCUAAUUUUCUUAAGCUUCAUGUUGGACUUUCAUAUGAGCAAUUGAUGGUCUGUUCCACAGUUGGCCCCUGGCUUUGUUCUGACUGAUGAUAUUGAGCUUUUCCAUUGUCUCUUUGCAGUGUACCUCUCGGUUUGUCAUAAUGUGAUGGCUUGCAUGUUGCUGUGAUGCUGGGAGCUAUGCCACCAGUAUUUCAAAUACCAGCAGGGUCAUCCGUGGUAGACAGGUUUCAGUGGAGCUUCCAGACUGAGACAGACUAGGAAGAAGGACCUGGUGGUCUACUUCUGAAAAAAUUGACCAGUGAAACCUUAUAAAUAGCAUAGGAACAUUGUCUGAUAUAGCACUGGAAGAUGAGUGCCUCAGGUUGGAAGGCACUCAAAAUGCGACGGGUAGAGCUGCCUCCUCAAAGUAGAGUCGACCUUAAUGAUGAGGAUGGAGUAAGCUUUUAGGGUCAUCAUUUGCUGCUGUGGCAUGAUUCAAAAUGAGAACAGCUGCAAACAUCCAUUAAUAAUCAGAACGUGAAAUGUCUGAAGUAUGAAUCUAGGAAAAUUGGAAGUUGUCAUAAAUUAAAUGGAAUGCAUAAAGUCCUAGGCAUUAGUGAGCUGAAAUGGACUGGUACUGGACAUUUUGAAUCAGACAAUCAUAUGGUCUAUUAUGCUAAGAAUGAUAAAUCGAAGAGGAAUAGCAUGGCAUUCAUCAUCAAAGAGAACACUUAAAGAUCUAUUCUGAAGCACAACACUGUCAGUGAUAGGAUAAUAUCCAUACACCUACAAGGAAGACCAGUUAAUGUGGCUAUUAUUCAAAUUUGCGCACCAACCGAUAAGGCCAAAGAUGAGGAAAUUGAUGACUUUUACCAGCUUCUGCCAUCUGAAAUUGAUCAAACAUGCAGUCAAGAUGCAUUUACUAGUGAUUGCAACGGGAAAGUUGGAAACAAAGAAGAAGGAUUGGUUGUUGGAAAAUAUGGGCUUGGUGAUAGAAACGAUACUGGAGAUUGCAUAAUAGAAUUAUCAAGGCCAACGACUUCUGCAUUGCAAAAUACCUUUUUUCAACAAUGUAAAUGGUGCCUAUAUAUGUAGGUAGACAACACAGAAUUAAAUUGACUACAUCUGUGGAAAGAGACAAUGAAAAAGAUCAGUAGUGUCAUUCUUAUGUAUACAUAUUACCUUAUUUAAUGGGUACUAAUUUUUUAAAUGGUACAAUUGGAAACCCUGGUGGUGUAGUGGUUAAGUGCUACAGCUGCUAACCAAGAGGCUGGCAGUUUGAAUCCACCAGGUGCUCCUUGGAAACUCUAUAGGGCAGUUCUACUCAGACCUAUAGGGUCGCUAUGAGUUGGAAUCAACUCGACAGCAGUGGGUUUGAGUUUGGAUUAAUGGUACAAUUACCGUCAUGAGGAAGUCCACAGUUUGGCUUUUUUUUAAAACAUUAGAAAGGGACUCUUAGCUGAGUUUGUGCUCCAGAAGAAAGGUAAAUCAAGAAAGAAGAAAAGGCAGGUAGGAAAUGAAGGCCCCAACCCGGGAAACAGUGAGAAGUUGGGGGUGACAGCUAUGUGACAGGCCUAGGCAGGAACUAGAGCACAUUGGAGGACAGAUCUCUGGGAGAGAGAGCUCUGGGGAAAAUUCAGACUAACUGCUAUGGCAGGGCAUUCCAGGAGAAGUGAUCAUAUGAUAAUGUGAAUGCAUAAUAUCUACUAAUUUGUUCUAGACAAACUGCAGAGUAAUCUGGUUAUUACUGCCUGGAUGCAGUAACCCUACAUAAAAAACCAAACCUGUUGCGGUCGAGUUGGUUCUGACCCAUAGCGACCUAUAGGACAGAGUAGAACUGCCCCAUAGAGUUUCCAAAGAGCGCCUGGUGGAUUCGAACUGUUGACCUUUUGCUUAGCAGCUGUAGCACUUAACCACUACACCACCAGGGUUUCCGUAACCCUACAUGGGGACUCCUAAUUCCCUAUUUGUUUAUUAAAACGCAUUUUUAAGUGCAUAAUGCAAACACAUGGUAUAAAAUUCCAAAGGUACAAAAGGAUAUAUGGUGCUGCAGUCUUCCAGCUUCCCUCCCUGAAGGCAACCACCAUUACCGGUUUCUUGUGUGUCCUUCCAGAGUUAUUCUACACCAGUGUUUUCCAGUAGAACUUUCUGUAAAGAUGGAAAUAGUUUAUAUCUGCAUUGUCCCAUUUCGUAGCCAUUAGCUACGAAUAGCUAGUGAGCACUUGAAAUGUGACUAGUGUGACUUAGGAGUUGCUGUUUAAUUUUAUCUGUGCUAAUUUAAAUUUAAAAAGCCAAUGCUUUAUGCAUAUGCUACACAACACAUAGUAGCAUACUGUAAAAAUGGCGUGGUGGCAUUAGACCUAGUCUAACUUUGUCAGGGGGAGAGAGAAGCACCAUCAGCAUCAGCCCAAGGGUGAUUCCUAUGAGGCGGAGGUCAAACAUACCUCCGUCCUCCAACCUUUUUACCAAUUCUGACACCAGCCAUCCCUCCACAGCAUUUUCUACUCUGCUGGGUUCAAUAAUUCAUUGCAAUGGCCACACAGAACUCAAAGACCAUACUCAUAGUUUUGGGAUUUAUUAGGGAAAUAACAGGUUACAAUUCAGGAUCAGGAACAACUCAAGAUACAGUUCUUUGGUCAGGACAGCUUCUCGGGCGUGCCUGCAGGCAGACUUCUCUCUCUUGGCUCUCAGCCCCUUGGCCCCUCAGUCAGGGCUCUGCCCUGCUUGGGCGAGCUCUUUAGCCCUGCCAUUAAGUGCCCAGAGGUACCCCACUUGGCCAGGAAGACUGCCAAAGGCGUUGUGCUCUCUAGCUCUGUGGAUCAGCACGCCCACUGUAACCGCCUUGCUCGGUGGGCUGGGAAGCCCACUGCACUGUCUAGUGCCAGUCUCCUGGUUCUGUUGCUGCUGUUUCUCUGCUUCGGUUGCUACUGCCACUUCUCACCAUCUCACACCGUCUCUGAUGUUACAGCUCUCUAUGUCUCCUGAGUCUAGGAGGCUCUCAGUGCAGGGAACCUGGGCCUAAAGGACAUGCUCUACUCUUGGCUCUUCUUCUUGGCGGCAGUGAGGUUUUCCCUGCUCCCCACUCCUGGGAUUGGCUCAUUUUAAGUCUAGUGGGAUGGCAAAACUGGCCAAUCCCCUACAAGAGCUCCAUAUACCUUAUUUGCAUAGUCCCACUCUGAGGUUUCUGUGCACCAUAUUUGCAUUAUUAGCAGGCUGUCCAAUCCCCUUGGUGGAUCACAAGCACCUUAUUUGCAUAGUACCACCCAACCAUUUUUUGGAGUCACAAGACUAAGCAAGGCUAGAAGGAUCAUAUUAAGUAAUUCACUGCACCGCACAUGCUAUAUACACCAUACCACAUCUUGCUUUGUUCACUUUUUGUGUGCCGUUGACUCCAAUUCAUAGCAACCCUAUAGGACAGGGUAGAGCUACCCCAUACGGUGUCCAAGGCUGUGAUCUUUAUGGAAACAGACCGCCACAUCUUUCUCCUGUGCAGCCGCUGGUGGGCUUGAGCUGCCAACCUCUGGUUAGCAGCCGAGUGCUUAACUAUUGGGCUACCAGGGCUUUUUGUUCACUUAGUAACCCCUGUGUAUCUUGGGAGAUAUUGUUCCAGUCUGCCUCAUUAAAACAAACUGCUGCAUAAGAUCUUUCUCUUGCAGUUCACUAAGGCAAUCCUUUAUUAACCACCUGGAGAACCCAGGGCCAUCACUCUUCAAAACAAGCACUAAAAUCUUCCACAUAUAUCAAAACGAAGAGACCUUGCACCAAAUCUAGUUUCUACGCCCCUCUACUUUGAUCAGCCUAAGCCUGAAACAGCUUGACAUUGAACAGUCCCUCUUGGGAUAUGGGAAAAUGAUUUACCAUGAAUCACUGCCCUAAAAUAUACUUUCCACCCACGUGCCCCUUGUGCCUGAUACUCAGUGGUGACUAUGCCAUUCUUUAGGAUUAAUCAUGGCUCUCUCAACUCUCCUUUGAAGUGAAAAGUCUCCUGGGAAAGGCAGCAAUUAAGGUCAAGCAUCUGGAGCCGAUUUGACUUUUGCCCUUUGAGGGGCCAACAAACGUUAUGGAACAGUUGGAGGCUCUGAAUCUCGCUAUUCUUAAAUUGUCCUUAAAUCCAUGUGGAUCCCUGGCUAGUUUUUGCCUUUAGACGACCUUCCUUUUAGGGUGUUUCAGGUUAUAAAAAUAUUUCUAGUUUUAAAUGGCCUCUAGAGGAAGAAACUUCACUAACCUGCUAACUUAGCUAUUUAGUGCUGCUGUAACAAAUACCACGAGUGGAUGGCUGUAACAGAAAUUUAUUUUCUCACAGUUUAGGAGAGUAGAGGUCCGAAUUCAGGGCACUGGCUCGAGGGGAAGGCUUUCUCUGUGUGUCAGCUCUGGAGGAAGGUCCUGGUCUCUUCAGCUUCUGCUUCCUAGUUCUUUGGAGAUCUCCAUGUAUCUUAGCAUCUGCCUUACCCCAUCUCCCCCUCUGUCUCUCUCUCUGCUCGUUUGUUUAAUCUCUUUUUAUAUCUCAAAGACACUGACUGAAGAUACACCCUACACUAAUCCUGCCUUAAUAUAACAAAGACAGCUAAAUGGGAUCAUAACCACAGGCAUAGAGGUUAGGAUAUACAACACAUUUUGGGGGGACAUAAUUCAAUCCAUAUCACCUGCUUUGAUAUUUAACCCUGUAUACACGUUUUCUUCUGGUAUUUCCUGUGGGAAGCAGUAGGCACAAGACUUAGUGUCAGACAGAUCUGAGUGCAGAUUCCAGCUGCAAAUGGCACAGUCCCUUUGCAGUUUAUGGGGCAAAUACAUAGUAUGCACUGACCUUUAAGAGGUCAGUCUGUAUUUCAUAAGGAAUCACAUGAGGAAAAUGAAGGAAUGACCUAAAAUUCACUCAAUAAUAUUGCUUGAGUCAUCACUAAGGUCAGGGCAUGUACUAGGCAUUGAAGGGAGGAGGGAGCUGUGGAGAUAAAGGAGAUCUGAUUCUUGCCUUGUCAGGGUUCCUGACCUAAUAGAGAACAGUGGUUAAGUCUUUACAUUGAUAGGCAUUAUCUGUCACUAUUUUCCAUUUAUAGGAAACUCCUAGAAGAGUGGAACCAGGGUAUGUAACCACCAAACCAGGGCUCGUUCGCAUACUAGGGUAUGUUGAAUUCUUGGCCCCAAUUCUUCACCCUUCCCUACGUCCACACUCUUGUCUCUUGUGGGUAGAGUAUACUUUCUUGUUUCCUGGCUUUGGCCUUGGCCACGUGUCUUAGUCAUCUAGUGCUGCCAUAUCAGAAAUACCACAAGUGGAUGGCUUUAACAAAGAGUAAUUUAUUUUCUCACAGUCUAGUAGGUUACAAGUCCAAAUUCAGAGUAUCGGCUCCAGGGGAAGGCUUUUUCUCUCUGUCCGCCCUGGAGGAAGGUCUUUGUCCUCAAUCUUCCCCUGGUCAAGGAGCUUCUCAGGCACAGGGACCCUGUUUCCAAAAGACGCUCUCUGCUUCUGGUGCUGCUUUCUUGGUGGUAUGAGGUCCCCAAUUCUCUGCUUGCUUCCCUUUCCUUUUAUCUCUUGAGAGAUAAAAGGUGGUACACCCCAGGGAAACUCCCUUUACCUUGGACCAGGGAGGUGACCUGAGUAAGGGUGGUGUUACAAUCCCACCCUAAUCCUCUUAACAUAAAAUUACAAUCACAAAAUGGAGGACAACCACACAGUACUGGGAAUCAUGGCCUAACAAAGCUGAUACACACAUUUUUGGGGGGACAUAAUGCAAUCCAUAACACCAUGUGACUUGUUUUGGCUCAUAGAAUGGGGCAGAAAUGAAAGUGUGCCAGUUCUAAGCCUAGGCUUUAAGAGGCCAUAUACUUUUCUGCUUGCCUUUUUAUGCCUCUGCCUUCUCCAGGAGAAGAGCUUCUCCUGGGUCUCUGCUGACUCUUCAGCCUGGGCCCCAGAAUGAAAACACAUGGGACAGAGCCACCCCAGCUGAUCUGCAGCCUUAGAGUAAGAAGCAGAGCUGAACCAGUGCAGAGUUAAAGCACAGUGCCCCAGCCAACCUGCGGAUCUGUGGGAACUGCUAUGUCAACUCACCAAGUUUCAUAAUGGUUUAUUACACAGUAUUAUUGUGGCAAUAGCUAACCCAUAUGUAUACAUACUCCUUUAUUAGGCCCUAGGGUCAGGUGCUGCAAUAGAGAACCAAAGAAUAGUGGGUUAAAUAAGAGGGAAGUUUCUCCAUCUUUCACGUAACAAUCUGGUUAGGAAAUCAGGGCUAGUUUAGUGGCCACCUUGUCAGGAGCCCAGGCUCCUUCUACCUUAUUGCUCCACCAGCCUUGGGGUAUGGCCCUAAUCCACGUGAAGUCUUCAUAAGGAUUACAGUUUAAGUCUUAAUUUCCUUCAGCCCUGCAAAUGAAGACACUCCACAGUAUGACACCAAACUACCCUCUAACACAUAGACUCUCAACUUGAAUCACUUCCCACUUUUGCUUCAGGCCUCAGGACUUUUUUCCCUUCUUGAAAGUGUGCUUCUCUCUGCUCCACUAGUGCUCAACAACAGCAUGUCACUCCCACCAGGGCCUUGGGAACCAGAGCUGGUUGAGUCUGGUGCUUUCCAGGAAGCCCUAAUCUCCACGGAGGUGAGCAGUAGCCCAGGGUUAUCUAUGUUGGUAGUCCAAGGUAAGGCUCAGUCAUGCCUCCCAUUCUCACAGACUUGACCAGACACCAGUCCUCUCACCUCCCACUGCUCUCCCCUGCCUCCCCGCAGUCAUCUCCCUGCUGUCUCCAGCCGAGAAGAAACCACAGGACCUCUGCUUCCUCUGACUCCCUGCCCUUCUUGUCAUAGCUCAGUGGUUCCUAAAAUGGGCCUCCCU
Long non-coding RNA from Loxodonta africana (African savanna elephant), 13063 nucleotides. RefSeq lists it as uncharacterized. Lineage: Eukaryota; Metazoa; Chordata; Mammalia; Proboscidea; Elephantidae. The record is from RefSeq and is a predicted model, not a curated record. The transcript has 3 exons.